This 253-nucleotide ribosomal RNA is filed under the name uncultured bacterium. RNAcentral's name for it is "partial 16S ribosomal RNA". It matches the Rfam family "Bacterial small subunit ribosomal RNA", at positions 524 to 776 of the family's 1533-position model. The record is from RNAcentral.
UACAGAGGGUGCAAACGUUGCUCGGAAUCAUUGGGCGUAAAGCGCACGUAGGCGGUCCAGCAAGCGGGGCGUGAAAGCCCUCGGCUUAACCGAGGAAGUGCUUUCCGAACUACUGGACUUGAGUACUGAAGAGGGUCGCGGAAUUCCCGGUGUAGAGGUGAAAUUCGUAGAUAUCGGGAGGAACACCAGUGGCGAAGGCGGCGACCUGGGCAGAUACUGACGCUGAGGUGCGAAAGCGUGGGGAGCAAACAGG